Molecule: ribosomal RNA, 484 nt
Filed under: uncultured bacterium
Lineage: Bacteria
Description: partial 16S ribosomal RNA
Rfam family: Bacterial small subunit ribosomal RNA
Source: RNAcentral
AUUGAACGCUGGCGGCAGGCCUAACACAUGCAAGUCGAGCGGAUGAAGGGAGCUUGCUCCUGGAUUCAGCGGCGGACGGGUGAGUAAUGCCUAGGAAUCUGCCUGGUAGUGGGGGAUAACGUCCAGAAACGGGCGCUAAUACCGCAUACGUCCUGAGGGAGAAAGUGGGGGAUCUUCGGACCUCACGCUAUCAGAUGAGCCUAGGUCGGAUUAGCUAGUUGGUGGGGUAAAGGCCUACCAAGGCAACGAUCCGUAACUGGUCUGAGAGGAUGAUCAGUCACACUGGAACUGAGACACGGUCCAGACUCCUACGGGAGGCAGCAGUGGGGAAUAUUGGACAAUGGGCGAAAGCCUGAUCCAGCCAUGCCGCGUGUGUGAAGAAGGUCUUCGGAUUGUAAAGCACUUUAAGUUGGGAGGAAGGGCAGUAAGUUAAUACCUUGCUGUUUUGACGUUACCAACAGAAUAAGCACCGGCUAACUUCGUG